Gallus gallus (chicken) is the source of this 8963-nucleotide long non-coding RNA. The record is from Ensembl. Lineage: Eukaryota; Metazoa; Chordata; Aves; Galliformes; Phasianidae.
CUGGAUGGUCUGAGAGGUCUUCUCCAACCUGAACGAUUCUAUGCUUCUGUGUAAUAAUUGUAUUAAACAAAUAGUGCAGAUACUGAUGUACAAGUCAGGGUAGCCACUUUGUUUCAGAGAUACUGAUGUCUACAAGUGGCCCACGUGCAAUGCCAGUGUGAUGUGGAACAGGUGAGUUUUCCUCAGUCUUCCAUCUGAGGCCCCCAGCUACUCUGACAGGAAUUAAAUCAGCCAGGAGUCCAAACUGAGUGGUUCCUCUGAGGUUCAGUGACCUUAAGCAGUCCUAUUUGACACUGGACUCUUAUGGACUUUUUUAGAUUCAAGUAUGUGCCUGAACUAUCUUGGGAAGCCAAUGGUGGAGAAUUUAAGCAAAGUCAGUAACUUAUGCAAAUGGCUGGGUGGACCCACAGAAGUCUGCCCCGUAGGUUGUGGCCUCUGUGCCAGUGGGCACAGCACUGCAGAUGAAGGCCAGGAAGUAAUCAACUGGGAAGCAAGGCUGCAGUAAAGCUCCCAGGCUGAACGUGAGGCAGCAAAGCUGUGGUAAAUGGAACAAAAGACUGCAGCAGUGUAUACAAAGGAGUGUGUUAGCUGCAAGUCCCUUUAGGUCAUGGCAUGUUAAGAUACAAGCUCGUGUACUGACUUUUGUCAGGCACAGCACUUCCAGAUUGAGCAAACCUGCUGUGCAGUGCACAGAAUCAGAGGGGUUCCAGAUAAUGCAGCCAGCAAGAAAAAAUGGAAAUGGAUGAGGCGCUUUUUUUUCUUCCUCCUAGAGGGAAGCAAGCAUGAAAAUAACGUUCAGCGGAGGACUGGCUUUCUUAAAAUGGAGUGAGUGGGGCAGCAAAGCACAGGGUUAACAUACAGCAGGUGGGGAUAAAACGCUAAGGACACAGACCUCGAAACGGUAAGGAUAGCAGAGGACCACAGCAGAUUGUCUGAGCUGGGAUGGAGCCUCACUGUCAGGGCUUUGAGGAGGGGCUGAACAAACACGAGCUGCAGGCAAAAAGAGAUUUCUGAGGAAGCAGAUGUGUAGGUGGGCUGCUGAGGGCCCAUUCUGCAGUAGUCUCUGAGCAGAUCGGCCCUGCCCUCUCUGCCACAUAAGCAUCAAUGUCCCACUCCUCUGCUGGGUGGAGCAGUGUCAGACGUGGCCAUGUCCAGGCACUGCUGAUGUUAAGAAGAGCAGAAGAACCAAGAUAGCUACACCGCCCUGCAUGCGUUGGACUGUCCUGUUGUGCCUGCAGUAACUGCUCUCCAACCUAGGCUUGCAUUUGUUUGUCUCAAAUUCCUGGCCCUGCAUUAACAUAACCAUCGUAAACCUCGCACUGAGUGCUGCAGCCUUCAUAAAUGUGGGAGAAGAACCAUGCAGCAAGACAGAAGGGACCUGCCUCAUGGAAUCAUGGAAUCACUCAGGUUGAAAAAGGCUUCAAAGAAAACCCCAACCCGCCCCACCGUGCCCACUGCUCACGUCCCUCAGUGCCACAUCCCCACAGUUCUUGAACACCUCCAGGGACGGUGACUCCACCACCUCCCUGGGCAGCUGUGCCACUGCCUGAACGCUCUUUUGGAGGAGAAAUUCUUCCCAAUACCCAUCCGAUCUUCCUAAUAUCCUCAUGUCAACCAGCAGGGCUGUAGCAGGAACCAUAUUUCCCAGGAGAUGGAAUCCCACAGUGUUGGACACUGCAUACACCCAGCCAGGAGCAGAUCUGUGCCCUGCCUAUCGGUAAGCUGCACGGACAAGGAAGGGAGUUGUUUCUGCUUUACCUGCUGGUGAACCCAUGCCAAGUGUGCAGUCCAGGUGCUCGGCUCUCCCUAACCACAGUGCGGGGCUCCACUUAUGGGUCACUUCCUUGUGCUAUUUGAACCAAAACUGGUGGCAUUUAAUCCUGGCAGGCUGCUGUCCAUGCCUCCUGUAACUAUCAUUUGGCUUUCUGUUGAGCAGCUAAUUAAUCGUACAGAGGUUAGUGCAACAGUAGCAAAGUUGAAUUUGCAUUAGAUGGAGAGGGUGGGAUGCUGAAAGCAACAAGGACUGAUGCAUUUUCUACCAGCAAAAGACCUUGCUACAUUUGCGGCUAUUUAAAGGAAAGCACGGCGCUGAAGUUCCGUUCUGCACCUGAUGACUUGCAGACCGGGCUGCUUCCAUCAAGCUCCAUUUUAUCCUAUUAAGCUAAAAUGUGCUUCAGCCUGUCAUUCCUCCCACCUGCUAUUUACUCCCUCCCUUAAAGAACUGUCACUCUUUGCUCCGGAGAUGCCUGGGACUAAAAAACAUGCUUAUCCCUGGAGAGGGCAGAGACUCGAGGUCACAGCUGAUGUGCACUGGUGAAGCAGCAUGAGGAAACCUACAUUGCGUGAAUAAAUAAGUGGCUGUAGCUCAGCCUGGGCUGGGUGGAAGAGACAAGAUGGAUGGAUCAAAAGAGAGGAGCAGAUGGGUGGGCUCCUCUUUGAAUCCUUCGUUUCACCGACGUCUGCCUAAAAUGUAUGGAUACGUCUAUUAUAAUCACGUAUGUACUAGGCACGUAUGCAUACACAAUAGCUGAUGCCUUUGUACGUAUGUGUGGUAGAAUCACGUGGGAUUUCAUCUGACCAGGCAUGCCUGAGCAGCGCUGCGUGGAGCUAUGGGAGCACUGAUGCAUUUCAGGUGAUGGAAGCUGCCCUGUGUGGCUGCCAAUGCCAGAGUGCUGCAUGCCUGCCCGGAGCUGCCUCGCGUGCUCCAAAGCAGAGCCCUGAGCUGCAGGCACAAAGGGGACGCGCUCCGAUGUCACACCGCAUCCAGAGGAAGCACCAGGCAAGAGCAGCAUCCAGCAUUUGAGAGCUCACUGCUGAGGCCACUGAGUUGAUGUCAGAACGGGGCUGUGCUGGCGGCGUUGCUGUGCCCUCCUGGCCCUGCCUCGGACAGAUGGGUCUCCUCCUCUCAUUGCAGCUGUUCUCCACCUUUCUUUGUGAGAGCUGGCCUCCGGCACUGCGACUUCCCAAGCACGAGGUCCCAUAAGAAUUCACUGUUAUCCCGUUCCAAAGGGCUUAGCUCUAAAUGUCCCACUGUAGAGGAGAUACCUCCAUGCCGGCCCGUGGCCAGAGACGGUUCUCCCUCCUCCUCGUCCCACUGUGCGCUCAGAGCUUUGCAGUAGAUUUUGCUGGGUUUUCUGUGCGCUGUGCUUCUUCAUUUUGUCCCAUAGCUUCGCCUGCACGCGUCGUGCAAAGCCCGUGCCCCUCCGUGUGGGCACUGCAGCUCGGAUGUGAGACCCACGGCUUUGGUGAGGGUCAGGAGAGGCACAGCACUGUGGUCCCAUGCAGCGGGUGCUGCCCGGAGCCCAGGCUGGCAGCCACAGGCUUUGUGUCGGCGCCAAUGUGAGGCACGGCGGGCAGUAAUUGCACUUUUUUGCAUUGCAAAAUGAUUAUUAGCACCUCGGUUCAUUAUCAGAGCAAAUUUAAUUUUUCAGUGUAAAGGAAGCGGUUGUAUUUAUAAAUGAAACACUGUUUAUACAGCCAGGGGAAAAAAAAAAGAAAAAAAAAAUUAAUUCAUGACAAAUGUAAGGAAAAUUAAUAGUCUUUAACCAGGACAAUAUUUGACUGUCUAAUUGUCUAAUUGUGCUCCGCCAGGUAAAGCACACUCUCAUUUCUGCCGGCUCCUGACGGAGAUUUCCAUAGAAGUGUUUUGCACUCCUGAUGGAGCUGCGUUUAAAUAUUGUGUUAAUUAAUCUUGCACCGAGCAGCCGGGCCAAACCUCGUAAGGGUGCUGCGGGAGCUCAGCGUUCUGCGGUGGAUCCGUGCCUCUGCGGAGGCACUGUGUGCACUCGGGGAGGUCUCGUCUCAUCCGAACCCGUUCAGGCAGAAAUAAGAAAGAAAAGGGAGAGGCCGAAGAUGGGCAGAGCAGGCACAGGGCUCGCAGCAUGCCGAGUGGGCACACCGUGCCUGGUGUGCAGGCGCUGAACCGCAGAGCAGCGCGGGGUGCCGUGGUCACACUUGGGAACUGCCAGGCGAGCACACCGACACGCAGCACCGCGGAUGGCCGACUGCUCGCACGUGGGAGGGAAGAGGUUCAGCAGGAUGUGCGAAGCCACCAGCAGUACUGCAGCCGCACGGGGGGUCCUCAGCACAGGAGGGAUGUGGAGCUGCUGGAGCGCAUCCAGAGGAGGGCCACAAAAAGGAUCCCAGGGACGGAACAGCUCCGUUCCGUUAGGAGGACAGGCUGAGAGCUGGGGCUGUGCAGCGUGGAGAAGAGGAGGCUCUGGGAGACAUGAGAGCGGCCCGUCAGUAUCUAAAGGGGAACAAAAGAGGGGGACAGACUCUUGCAGGGUCUGCUGUGCAAGAACAAGGAGAAACGGUUUUAAGUUAAGGAGGGGAGAUGUAGGUUGGCUAUAAGGAAGAAGGGUUUUUUACAAUAAGAAUGGUGAGGCACUGGAACCUCGGAGCCCAAGAUGUGGUGGAAGCUCCAUCCAUGGAGGCAUUGGAGGUCAGGCUGGAUGGGGCUCUGAGCACCUGGUGGAGCUGUGGAUGUCCCUGUUUGUUGCAGGGAAGAUGGACUAGAUGACCUUUAAGAGUCCCUUCCAGCUGAAAAGGUUCUAUGAUUCUGUGUCUGUGUCUGGUUCCAUGAGGGUUUCUGUAUCCCUGGCUCAGGACUAGGCUGUCUGUGACACCAGCUGUCCCCUUGUCAGGACAUGAGUGUAGCUGUGACACCCACAAGCACACUCUGUGUGCAGCAGUUGAGGUGCAGACUUGAGGACAGUGUGCUGGCUCAUUAACACUCCCCGUUACACUUGGGAUCGGCAUGCCAGGGACGCUGGUUGCACUGGAGCCCUCCUGGUGCUGUGUUGGCACUGCUGUGCAGAUGGAACUCACAGCAUGCAGUGAGGGGGCGUAGAGCCCACCACAGGGCCGCACAUGUCCCUGUUGGGUGCACAGGGCAGGCCAGACAGGCAAAUCCCUGUGCAGUGCAGACAGAGCUCCAUUGGCAGUCCCAUCUCUCACUGUGCCCCACGCAGCCUGGCACAGCUCUGCUCAGGACAGCUUGGAAGCGUGCAGUCUCUUCAACUCAGCCUGCCAACUUGAAGCCAAUUUGCAUUGGAUAAUUAUUUUCAAUUAAGUGAUAACAAUCCUGUUCCGAACAGAAAUAAUCUUGUCCAAAGGCCAAACAGUUUAUCCUGUCUCGGAGAUGAGGCUGCAGCCUUGCGGAGGCACACAUCAGUGUCAGCGCUGUUAUCACCUCCGCUGUGCUGAAGGGAAUGGCCCCUGCUCGGGGAGGGUGGAACAGAACCUGGUGUGCUAACUUAGCAACAUCACAGUGCUGUGCUCCAGUAACCCGCUGCGCUCAGGGCCUUCCCAGUCAUCCAAGGGGUGUGAAACCCUGCUGGCUCAUUCAUGUCACUGGGUGGGAGUGGGGCUGUGUUUCCUUGGCACACCCCCGUGCUGAGCCCGCUGCCCUCCUCCUCCAGCAGCUCCUGCAGCACUGAGUGGGGCAAGCAUGUGCUUUGCACAGCAAGGGUCGACCAGAACAGAGGCGUGCACAGAUGUGGCUCAGCAUCCCCACGCGGCUGUCUGAUGGCAAAGACCAGAUACCAGACAGACACCUCUCCAGGAGCAGCACCCUCUGCAAGGAUGACAGAGCUCUCUGGAAGCAGCCUGCAGAAGCCACCCGGGUGCAUCUGCAUGCCCUCCCCUUGGGGCUGGUUGUGUGCAAGGGUGCUUUACUCGUGGUGGGCAGUAAUUGCAGCCUGGUGAAGUUUACACAUAGGUUUUAAAUCUGUGAGUCUGUAGUAGUAAGAAAAGACAAGCGAGACAGCCUGCUGCCCACAAAGCAAGGGGUCAGCAGGGCUCCCUGCCUUUUCCUAGGGGGGAGGUGAGCCCUAACCCUAAUGAUAGCCCUUACUCAAGCCCAGUCCCAUCCCAACCCUAGUUCUAAACGUAAUCCUAACGCUAACCCAAAACCUAACUCUGACACAACCCAAUCCUAGCCCUAACCCUCCCCAAACUACCUCGCCAGUUUGACAGAAGAGUCAGGAAUCUCGACAUGGAGAAGUGUCGAGCCUAUGGCCAUUUGUUGGCGCUGCCCAAUGGAUGUCACAGCUGCCAGGCAGACGGAGGCAGCAGCUCAGCCAAAGGGUGGGUAGGUGAAAGACCUGAUGUCACCCACCUGCUCUGCUGCGGGAAACAGGCAAACACCUCUGUCUGUGCGGGGAAGUGCCAAGGAGCAGCGGAUGGUGCUUGAUGAGGGUUGUUGGCUUUUAUUUCUCCUUAACUUACUUUUUUUUUUUAAUCCACUGUAUUCCAGUCAGUUGGGAAGAUUGGAAUCCAAAGCUCCUGCAAGUGAAAAAUAGCAAAUCCAAUAUCUUUUUAGUGGUGUUUUUAUAUUCAAAUUAGACAUAAUCUCUAUGAAUAAAAUUACUGUUCCCAAAGGGAUCAUGCCCAAUUUAAAUGUAUAAAAUGUCAUUAAAGGGGUGCUGGCUUGCUAUUAAAAUUUAACUCCAGCAAACCCCUGACGUCCUUUGUAUUAUAGUUUUACAAUUAACCCGGAGAUGUACAAUCUGGUACUGUACAGUAAGUGCAUUGUUUCUGACAAGCCCGCAGCCAGACCAACUGCUGAAAGCAUCACCACAUCCGAGCAGAGACGCUGCACUCCUGCCUCUGGACCCCGCUGCUGGGACACCCCACAGGAAUCCCCCACGUGUGGGGCUGAUGCUCCUUCCCCUCGUGGUCCAGGAAAGCUGCCCUAGCUCGCAGCAGGCAAAGGGUGCAGGACCUCCUGCCCCAAAGCUUUUCUGUCUCAAAAACAAAGGGCACCGGGGAUGGGUGCCCAUCCCGUCCCAUGAGGGAUGGGAAUCAGCGCAAGAAUUGCACUGCAAGAGAAGAUGAGAUUCUAAAAGUGCCUCGGGAACCUGAACUUACAGCGUUCCAUGGGGUCCGUGGGUGAGAUACAUCCCAGGGUCCUGAGGGAAGUGGCUGACGUAGCUGCUCAGCCUCUCUCCAUCGCAUCUGAGAACUCGCGGCUGUCAGGUCAAGUCUCCACUGAAUGGAGAAACGGGAGCAUCACAGAUAUUUGUAAGAAGGCUCCUGGGGAGGGUCCUGGCAAUUACUGACCUGCCAGACUAAACCAGUGCCUGCUAAGAUCGUGCAACAGAUCCUUCUGGAAGUCACGCUAAGGCAUGUGGAGGACAGCGGGAUGGAUAGAGAGGGCAGGCAUAGCUUCACAAAGGGCAAAUCGUGCCUGACUCACCUACUGGCCUUCUGCAGUGGACUGAAAAGUGAAGAGCUGGUGGUCGUCCAACUCAGCUUCUGCAAGACGUUUUAUGUGGUCUCCUACGAUAUUCGUGUCUUUGAAUGGGAGAGAGAUUAUUUGGAUUGACAGACUGUAAGAUGGAUAAGGAAUUGACUGGACGGCUGCAUCCAGUGAGUCCAAGGCUCAGUGCCCAAAUGGAAACCAGUAACAGGUGCUGUCACUCAAGGGUCCGUGUUGGGACCAAUACCACUCAAUAUUUCUGCAGCACAACACGGUCACCGUGAUGGGAAGGCACCCAACACUUGCCCCGGUGCAGGCGGGGGCCAGCGCAGCGCUCUGCCAUCACCCCUCCCCCUGUUGCCUUUCAAGACCAGAAGACAUCUUUUCUUUCUACCAGCUAAUUACUACGCAUUAAAGGGUAUAUAAAUGCACGUUUAAAUAUGCGUUUAACUGUCAGGUUAGUGAACUGCAGGUGAGCGAAUAUCCACGUGACAAAAACACUCACAUCUAACUAGCGUGCAAUGAAUGGGGCAAAAUACUCAAAGCGAUCUCUUACUCUGUAGGAGUGAAAUACCUUCCAAAGCAUUUUAAUUACGGCUGUGGUGUUCCAGAUGCCACGCCUGGUCUUCCUCGCGCCCUCUUCUUCCCAAAGCAACAGAAAAGACGCCUUAAAACCCAGCACUCCCCAUGCAUAGAAGGGAGACACUGGGCUCCUGCAAGGCUGUCACUGAGGGCACGCAGGCAGCAGCACGGAGUGGGCACCCCAGGCCUGGGCUUUGCUGCUGGCUGCCUCCUGCUCCGUCACCUGCCCGACUCAAAGCACAUCCAAGGGAGGCACUCAGCCGAGACGUGCGGCUGGGCACCCGCUCCUGCUGCAGAUUAGCCUUGUCAUUGUGUUUAUGAGAGUAAGAGAAUCUUUCGCCGCUGCAAUGUUUUUCCAUUAGCCAUUACAAGGAGAUGCUGCUGGAGGGGACAAGGAAAAGGCCUCUCCUAUGCAUGACUGAGCCACAAAGGCCAAAUCAGAGGGACAGGUUGCGCCCUGAGUAAUUCCUACCUCGAUUUCCAUGUCAGGACUUGAUGAGGCACGUAACAAAAAGGCUUCUCCUUCCCUGCACGCUGCAGAGCCCACCCCAUGUCCACAGAUGCCGCCUGGAUCUCGCUGCCAGAGGAGGCCCCAGCUCUCAGCUCCAUGCAGGUGCCCUGGUCCGCCCAUGGCUCCAGCCAUCAGAAGGCCCCUCGGGAGCGGUGGGAGCCUCCGUGCAGGCAGCAGCCAAAUGCAGAGCUGAGCCCGGGCCUUUGCAGGCUUCCUCUGGCACACAGAGCUGCACCGCACAGCACGCUGCAGCGCCUGCAUGAGCCCGGAGACCCAGCAGCAUGCACACAUCCCACACCCUCACUGCACAGACACCUUCCCGGGCAUGUUCUGCACAUCCUGCCCCAGGGAGGGGGUUUUGCUUCCCUCACCAGUGGGAAGCAACAGCUCGAUGAAAAUUACGUCUCUUUUCUAAAGGAAGUUCCCAGGUUUAUGCUAACGCCCGAGUGCUUCUGAGCCAUCAGGUGACUGACAACGCAUCAAAUCACAUUUCGCUUCAAAAUACACGAAUCCGAAAUGGAAACAGUGACAGAUUUGGCAUCCGGCAGCCUGGGGGAGAAAUGCCCCAUCCGGGCAUUCGCAACAAUGGAUUGCAUCUAAAACAGGCCUGCGUUCGGUCCUGACCACUAAUGCUCUGCUCAAUCGCAUGGAAAAAAAAAAAAAAAA